This 484-nucleotide ribosomal RNA is filed under the name uncultured bacterium. Its description in RNAcentral is "partial 16S ribosomal RNA". It matches the Rfam family "Bacterial small subunit ribosomal RNA", at positions 30 to 507 of the family's 1533-position model. The record is from RNAcentral.
AUUGAACGCUGGCGGCAGGCCUAACACAUGCAAGUCGAGCGGAUGAAGGGAGCUUGCUCCUGGAUUCAGCGGCGGACGGGUGAGUAAUGCCUAGGAAUCUGCCUGGUAGUGGGGGAUAACGUCCGGAAACGGGCGCUAAUACCGCAUACGUCCUGAGGGAGAAAGUGGGGGAUCUUCGGACCUCACGCUCUCAGAUGAUCCUAGGUCGGAUUAGCUAGUUGGUGGGGUAAAGGCCUACCAAGGCGACGAUCCGUAACUGGUCUGAGAGGAUGAUCAGUCACACUGGAACUGAGACACGGUCCAGACUCCUACGGGAGGCAGCAGUGGGGAAUAUUGGACAAUGGGCGAAAGCCUGAUCCAGCCAUGCCGCGUGUGUGAAGAAGGUCUUCGGAUUGUAAAGCACUUUAAGUUGGGAGGAAGGGCAGUAAGUUAAUACCUUGCUGUUUUGACGUUACCAACAGAAUAAGCACCGGCUAACUUCGUG